Molecule: ribosomal RNA, 490 nt
Filed under: uncultured bacterium
Lineage: Bacteria
Description: partial 16S ribosomal RNA
Rfam family: Bacterial small subunit ribosomal RNA
Source: RNAcentral
AGUGAACGCUGGCGGUAGGCCUAACACAUGCCAGUCGAACGGCAGCACAGUAAGAGCUUGCUCUUACGGGUGGCGAGUGGCGGACGGGUGAGGAAUACAUCGGAAUCUACUUUUUCGUGGGGAUAACGUAGGGAAACUUACGCUAAUACCGCAUACGACCUACGGGUGAAAGCAGGGGAUCUUCGGACCUUGCGCGAUUGAAUGAGCCGAUGUCGGAUUAGCUAGUUGGCGGGGUAAAGGCCCACCAAGGCGACGAUCCGUAGCUGGUCUGAGAGGAUGAUCAGCCACACUGGAACUGAGACACGGUCCAGACUCCUACGGGAGGCAGCAGUGGGGAAUAUUGGACAAUGGGCGCAAGCCUGAUCCAGCCAUACCGCGUGGGUGAAGAAGGCCUUCGGGUUGUAAAGCCCUUUUGUUGGGAAAGAAAAGCAGCAGGUUAAUACCCCGCUGUUCUGACGGUACCCAAAGAAUAAGCACCGGCUAACUUCGU